This 96-nucleotide transfer RNA is filed under the name Streptomyces rimosus subsp. rimosus. RNAcentral's name for it is "tRNA-Ala(agc)". Lineage: Bacteria; Bacillati; Actinomycetota; Actinomycetes; Kitasatosporales; Streptomycetaceae. The record is from RNAcentral.
CGAGUUGAAGGCGCUCCAGGCGGCGCUGGCGGCCGAGCACGCCGCCGUCUACGGCUACGGCGUGGUCGGCGGCCGGAUCGGCGCCGACCGGCGCAA